ACGAGUAGAGGUGGCGCACGGGUGAGUACGCGUAAAUAAUCUACCUGAUGUCUGGGAUAACCAGCCGAAAGGCUGACUAAUACCGGCUAUAUGCUACCCUAUUGGGGGUAUCAGGAAAGGUGGCCUCUUCUUGAAAGCUAUCGCAUUGGGAUGAGUUUGCGUACCAUUAGCUAGUUGGUGGGGUAAUGGCCCACCAAGGCGACGAUGGUUAGCGGGUCUGAGAGGAUGAUCCGUCACACUGGCACUGGAACACGGGCCAGACUCCUACGGGAGGCAGCAGUGAGGAAUAUUGCGCAAUGGGGGAAACCCUGACGCAGCGACGCCGCGUGAGUGAGGAAGGCCUUCGGGUCGUAAAGCUCUGUCAGAUGGGAAGAAGUGCAUAUUGGUUAAUACCCAUUAUGUUUGACGGUACCAUCAAAGGAAGCACCGGCUAACUCCGUGCCAGCAGCCGCGGUAAUACGGAGGGUGCAAGCGUUGUUCGGAAUCACUGGGCGUAAAGGGCGCGCAGGCGGUCUGUUAAGUCAGAUGUGAAAGCCCACGGCUUAACCGUGGAAGUGCAUUUGAAACUGGCAGACUUGAGUAUCAGAGGGGAAGGUGGAAUUCCCGGUGUAGAGGUGAAAUUCGUAGAUAUCGGGAGGAAUACCGGUGGCGAAGGCGACUUUCUGGCUGAAUACUGACGCUGAGGCGCGAAAGCGUGGGGAGCAAACAGGAUUAGAUACCCUGGUAGUCCACGCCGUAAACGAUGUGAACUAGAUGUUGGAGGUAUUGAUCCCUUCGGUGUCGGAGCUAACGCAUUAAGUUCACCGCCUGGGGAGUACGGUCGCAAGAUUAAAACUCAAA
Molecule: ribosomal RNA, 840 nt
Filed under: uncultured bacterium
Lineage: Bacteria
Description: bacterial SSU rRNA
Rfam family: Bacterial small subunit ribosomal RNA
Source: RNAcentral